This 521-nucleotide ribosomal RNA is filed under the name uncultured bacterium. RNAcentral describes it as "bacterial SSU rRNA". It matches the Rfam family "Bacterial small subunit ribosomal RNA", at positions 777 to 1297 of the family's 1533-position model. The record is from RNAcentral.
AAUAGAUACCCAGGUAGUCCACGCCGUAAACGUUGGGCGCUAGAUGUGGGGACCAUUCCACGGUUUCCGCGUCGUAGCUAACGCAUUAAGCGCCCCGCCUGGGGAGUACGGCCGCAAGGCUAAAACUCAAAGGAAUUGACGGGGGCCCGCACAAGCGGCGGAGCAUGCGGAUUAAUUCGAUGCAACGCGAAGAACCUUACCAAGGCUUGACAUAUGCGAGAACGCUCUAGAAAUAGAGAACUCUUUGGACACUCGUAUACAGGUGGUGCAUGGUUGUCGUCAGCUCGUGUCGUGAGAUGUUGGGUUAAGUCCCGCAACGAGCGCAACCCUCGUCGCAUGUUGCCAGCACGUAAUGGUGGGAACUCAUGUGAGACUGCCGGGGUCAACUCGGAGGAAGGUGGGGAUGACGUCAAAUCAUCAUGCCCCUUAUGUCUUGGGCUUCACGCAUGCUACAAUGGCCGGUACAAAGGGCUGCGAAACCGCAAGGUGAGCGAAUCCCAAAAAGCCGGUCUCAGUUCGGA